This 267-nucleotide long non-coding RNA is filed under the name Elaeis guineensis (African oil palm). RNAcentral describes it as "long non-coding RNA (EGUI_LNC069748)". Lineage: Eukaryota; Viridiplantae; Streptophyta; Magnoliopsida; Arecales; Arecaceae. The record is from RNAcentral.
CACCGCAAACUGAUGAUCGUGGAUGUCUUCUAAAGAUCUGUUGAAAUCGCAUAAGUAUCCGACCUCUAUGGAUAUUCACACGAGACUUCGAUUUGAUCAGAAGCUUCUUGAUCUUACCAGGGUACUAGCUUCUUCGUAGAGAUCACAUCUUGACGGUUGAAAACUCUUUUUUUCUCUCAAAACACUCUUAGAGAAGAAGAAGAAAAUAGGAGGAUGAUGAUCUCUACACUAGAGAUCAUGGAAGAAUAUUUUCUUCUCUUUUCUUCC